Molecule: unclassified non-coding RNA, 400 nt
Filed under: soil metagenome
Description: partial contains 5.8S ribosomal RNA, internal transcribed spacer 2, and large subunit ribosomal RNA
Rfam family: 5.8S ribosomal RNA (bases 1-122)
Source: RNAcentral
GAUGAAGAACGCAGUGAAAUGCGAUACUUGGUGUAAAUUGCAGAAUCCCGUGAACCAUCGAGUCUUUGAACGCAAGUUGCGCCUCAAGCCAUUAGGUUGAGGGCACGUCUGCCUGGGCGUCACAUAUCGUUGCCUGAUGCCAGUUUCCUCGUGAUGGGUGACUGUGCAGGGCGAAUGAUGGCUUCCCGUGAGCAUUGUUGCCUCAUGGUUGGUUGAAAAUUGAGUCCUUGGUAGGGAGCGCCGUGAUAGAUGGUGGUUGAGUGACGAACGAGACCCAAUCAUGUGAGACCCCUACCGAAUUUGGCCUUCAUGACCCACAUGCGUCUUUGGAACGCUCAUGACGAGACCUCAGGUCAGGCGGGGCUACCCGCUGAGUUUAAGCAUAUCAAUAAGCGGAGGA